GAUGAACGCUGGCGGCGUGCCUAAUACAUGCAAGUCGAGCGAACGGACGAGAAGCUUGCUUCUCUGAUGUUAGCGGCGGACGGGUGAGUAACACGUGGAUAACCUACCUAUAAGACUGGGAUAACUUCGGGAAACCGGAGCUAAUACCGGAUAAUAUUUUGAACCGCAUGGUUCAAAAGUGAAAGACGGUCUUGCUGUCACGUAUAGAUGGAUCCGCGCUGCAUUAGCUAGUUGGUAAGGUAACGGCUUACCAAGGCAACGAUGCAUAGCCGACCUGAGAGGGUGAUCGGCCACACUGGAACUGAGACACGGUCCAGACUCCUACGGGAGGCAGCAGUAGGGAAUCUUCCGCAAUGGGCGAAAGCCUGACGGAGCAACGCCGCGUGAGUGAUGAAGGUCUUCGGAUCGUAAAACUCUGUUAGUAGGGAAGAACAUAUGUGUAAGUAACUGUGCACAUCUUGACGGUACCUAAUCAGAAAGCCACGGCUAACUACGUG
RNAcentral lists this ribosomal RNA (497 nucleotides) under uncultured bacterium. Its description in RNAcentral is "partial 16S ribosomal RNA". It matches the Rfam family "Bacterial small subunit ribosomal RNA", at positions 28 to 507 of the family's 1533-position model. The record is from RNAcentral.